This is a long non-coding RNA of Chenopodium quinoa (quinoa), 1630 nucleotides long. RefSeq lists it as uncharacterized. The record is from RefSeq and is a predicted model, not a curated record. NCBI's taxonomy places the organism in Eukaryota, Viridiplantae, Streptophyta, Magnoliopsida, Caryophyllales, Amaranthaceae. The transcript has 5 exons.
AUCGGUGCCCUUUACUUUAAUUUUUCAUUCUAAUCUAUCUACUCCUCUCAUUCUCGCUCAAAAAUGUUCUCUCAGCAUGAGUUUAGAUUCUUUAAUCCAUGGAGUGCAAACACAAGGCUGUUGGGUUGUCACUUCCACUUCAUAGAUCUACUUCGAUCUUUGAUUGUUCUUUGAAAGCGAAAGACGGGGUGAUCUCUGAGCUACUACCAGAGAAGGGAGGAAAUGUUUCAGAAGCACAAGCGUCUCAUCAUAAAGACAGAAAGGGACCUCCAAACCAUUAACAAAUAAAACUAGCAAAGCUGAAAGGCGCACAUUACAGGAGGUCACAAAGGUGCCAAAUCUACAUAAAAGAUUCAGACUUUGUCAUUCAUGUGUGUGUGUGUGUGUGUGUGUGGGUGUGUGUGUGUGUGUGUGUGUGUGAGUUGGGGGAGGGGUUAGUCACUAGUUUGAAUUUCUGUCAACUAUCACGCUUAAUGAAAAUUUAUGGAUAUACUAUCAACAAUUUGAGGAGCAACGAACAAACACAAAGUUUGAUUGAUGAGAGAAUUAAGGUAUUAGUGGCCAACCUAUGCAGUGUGGAGACCUGGUGUUAAACCACCUAUUCUUCCUGCAUCAUUGCUGAUUCCAGGUUCCCUUCCCCUAAAGCUAAAAUGGGUCCAAGGAUCAGAUCAGGCUACCUAUUUUCCUAGACUUCCUGAUUUUCGGGUCAAGUGCUGAGGUUCUCUUUCUAUGCUCAAGGUACUCGAAUUUCCAGUCAGAAGCAAGAUCCAGAUGGCAGAUUUUGAGAAAGCUAGACAAACAAGGAUAGAACAAAAUAGAAGCCAGACAAACAAAGAUAGAACAAAAUAAAAGCAACCAGGGAUAUGUUCACUAAGGGGAAAGAGCAACAAACCAAUAAUUCCCGAUGAGUUUUUAAAGCCCUAUAAAGACCAAAUUGUGAAAGAAACUGUAGCAGAAUUAAUGAAGACACUCAAGCAAAUUGAUCCGGAAGUGUUGGAUACUUUGACUCGAUCACUUGAAAAUGUGUCAUCCAAUCCAGAACUUACAAAUCAUAUUCCGAUUGUACACUAAUGAAUAGGAGCGAAAUGAGAUCAAUUGGAUCAAGAUGAAGAAUCGGGAUAGCAAUUUAUGAUGCUAGAAGAACUCUACUUACUUUUACCGUUGUUUUGCUGCUGCUACUGCUGUUUUGCUGCUGUCUUUUACUGUUACUACUACUACUGUUGUCUAAUAUGUUGCUGACUCUUGCUCAUUCGGUUUGCUGCCACUGCUCUGUUACUGCUGGUACCAACUGAUGUCUGCUACUGCUGGAAGCUUCCACUACUAUCUGCUACUGCUGGUUGCUGCUAAAGACUACUGAUGGUAGCAUCUGUUACUGCUUCUGAUGUUCGGGUAGCUAGCUGUGUAGCUGCUGCUAUAAGCUGUUAUUAUUAAUGCUCUUUACUGUUAUUGCUGUCUUUUUUGAAAUUUGGAAGUUUUUUUUGUUUUUCCUUACUUUUUCCAAGUUAGAGAUCGAACUUAAUAUUCUUUGUGUUUGGAUUAUUAUAUUGUUUGGCCAAACAUUAAAAUUGGCGUUUAUGGAUUUUUUUUGUGAGAAUUAUGAAAGUAUUUCAAUCCAAAUUGUUUUCUAUCA